UUUCCGUAGGUGAACCUGCGGAAGGAUCAUUACAGAGUUCAUGCCCUCACGGGUAGAUCUCCCACCCUUGAAUAUUUAUACCUUAGUUGCUUUGGCAGGCCGUGGAAACACCAUGGGCUCCGGCUUAUGCGUGCCUGCCAGAGGAAACAAACUCUGAUUUUAGUGAUGUCUGAGUACUAUAUAAUAGUUAAAACUUUCAACAACGGAUCUCUUGGUUCUG
This 220-nucleotide unclassified non-coding RNA is filed under the name plant metagenome. Its description in RNAcentral is "partial contains small subunit ribosomal RNA, internal transcribed spacer 1, and 5.8S ribosomal RNA". The record is from RNAcentral.